Molecule: small nuclear RNA, 104 nt
Organism: Bison bison bison
Lineage: Eukaryota; Metazoa; Chordata; Mammalia; Artiodactyla; Bovidae
Source: Ensembl
GUGCUUACUUCGGAAGUACAUAUACUAAAAUUGGAACACUAUAGAGAUUAGCACGGCCCCUACGCAAGGAUGACACACAAAUUUGUGAAGCGUUUCAUAUUUUU